CCUACGGGUGGCAGCAGUGGGGAAUAUUGCACAAUGGGCGCAAGCCUGAUGCAGCCAUGCCGCGUGUGUGAAGAAGGCCUUCGGGUUGUAAAGCUCUUUUAGCGGGGAGGAAGGCGAUAAGGGUAAUAACCUUGGCGAUUGACGUUACCAGAAGAAGAAGCAACGGCUAACUCCGUGCCAGCAGCCGCGGUAAUACGGGGGGUGCAAGCGUUACUCGGAAUUACUGGGCGUAAAGCGCACGCAGGCGGUCUGUCAAGUCGGAUGUGAAAUCCCCGGGCUCAACCUGGGAACUGCAUUCGAUACUGGCAGGCUUGAGUCCUGAAGAGGGGAGGAGAAUUCCAGGUGUAGCGGUGAAAUGCGUAGAGAUCUGGAGGAAUACCGGUUGCGAAGGCGACCCCCUGGACAAAGACUGACGCUCAGGUGCGAAAGCGUGGGGAGCAAACAGGAUUAGAUACCCUGGUAGUC
Molecule: ribosomal RNA, 465 nt
Filed under: uncultured bacterium
Lineage: Bacteria
Description: partial 16S ribosomal RNA
Rfam family: Bacterial small subunit ribosomal RNA
Source: RNAcentral